Molecule: ribosomal RNA, 254 nt
Filed under: uncultured bacterium
Lineage: Bacteria
Description: partial 16S ribosomal RNA
Rfam family: Bacterial small subunit ribosomal RNA
Source: RNAcentral
UACGUAGGGUCCGAGCGUUGUCCGGAAUUACUGGGCGUAAAGCGUACGUAGGCGGCUUUGUAAGUAAGAGGUGAAAGCCCGGAGCUCAACUCCGGAACUGCCUUUUAGACUGCAUCGCUUGAAUCCAGGAGAGGUGAGUGGAAUUCCGAGUGUAGAGGUGAAAUUCGUAGAUAUUCGGAAGAACACCAGUGGCGAAGGCGGCUCACUGGACUGGUAUUGACGCUGAGGUACGAAAGCGUGGGGAGCAAACAGGG